UACGUAGGGUGCAAGCGUUGUCCGGAAUUAUUGGGCGUAAAGAGCUCGUAGGUGGCCUGUCGCGUCGGCUGUGAAAACUCGGGGCUCAACUCCGAGCUUGCAGUCGAUACGGGCAGGCUAGAGUUCGGCAGGGGAGACUGGAAUUCCUGGUGUAGCGGUGAAAUGCGCAGAUAUCAGGAGGAACACCGAUGGCGAAGGCAGUGGGCUGGGCCGGCACUGACGCUGAGGAGCGAAAGCGUGGGGAGCGAACAGG
Molecule: ribosomal RNA, 253 nt
Filed under: uncultured bacterium
Lineage: Bacteria
Description: partial 16S ribosomal RNA
Rfam family: Bacterial small subunit ribosomal RNA
Source: RNAcentral